This 446-nucleotide ribosomal RNA is filed under the name uncultured bacterium. RNAcentral describes it as "partial 16S ribosomal RNA". It matches the Rfam family "Bacterial small subunit ribosomal RNA", at positions 338 to 795 of the family's 1533-position model. The record is from RNAcentral.
CCUACGGGUGGCAGCAGUCGAGAAUCAUUCACAAUGGGGGAAACCCUGAUGGUGCGACGCCGCGUGGGGGAAUGAAGGUCUUCGGAUUGUAAACCCCUGUCAUGUGGGAGCAAAUUAAAAAGAUAGUACCACAAGAGGAAGAGACGGCUAACUCUGUGCCAGCAGCCGCGGUAAUACAGAGGUCUCAAGCGUUGUUCGGAAUCACUGGGCGUAAAGCGUGCGUAGGCUGUUUCUUAAGUAGUGUGUGAAGGGCGCGGCCUAAACCCGCGGACGGAACAUGAUAUUGCGAGACUAGAGUAAUGGAGGGGGAACCGGAAUUCUCGGUGUAGCAGUGAAAUGCGUAGAUAUCGAGAGGAACACUCGUGGCGAAGGCGGGUUCCUGGACAUUAACUGACGCUGAGGCUCGAAAGCGCGGGUAUCGAACAGGAUUAGAUACCCCAGUAGUC